AUCAUGGCUCAGAUUGAACGCUGGCGGCAUGCUUUACACAUGCAAGUCGAACGGUAACAGGUUAAGCUGACGAGUGGCGAACGGGUGAGUAAUGCAUCGGAACGUGCCCGGUCGUGGGGGAUAACGCAGCGAAAGCUGCGCUAAUACCGCAUACGAUCUGAGGAUGAAAGCGGGGGACCGUAAGGCCUCGCGCGAUCGGAGCGGCCGAUGUCAGAUUAGGUAGUUGGUGGGGUAAAGGCUCACCAAGCCGACGAUCUGUAGCUGGUCUGAGAGGACGACCAGCCACACUGGGACUGAGACACGGCCCAGACUCCUACGGGAGGCAGCAGUGGGGAAUUUUGGACAAUGGGCGCAAGCCUGAUCCAGCAAUGCCGCGUGCAGGAAGAAGGCCUUCGGGUUGUAAACUGCUUUUGUACGGAGCGAAAAGGCCCUCUCUAAUACAGGGGGUUCAUGACGGUACCGUAAGAAUAAGCACCGGCUAACUACGUG
RNAcentral lists this ribosomal RNA (489 nucleotides) under uncultured bacterium. RNAcentral's name for it is "bacterial SSU rRNA". It matches the Rfam family "Bacterial small subunit ribosomal RNA", at positions 16 to 507 of the family's 1533-position model. The record is from RNAcentral.